CAGGAUUUGAGUUUUUAAAAGUGGGGCGGAGCCCAGUGUUUGGUCUGGGAGAGCAUGUUGUGGACAGGGAAGUUCAGGCCUGGCUGCUGCAGUUUCUGGAUGCCUCUAAUCUUUGAAAGAUUAGGUUUGAUGGGCUUACAAACAGGAAGAAAAAAACUGAGACCAGGCCCCUUUUUAAUAGUGAGCUACUACUAGGCCUCUGGCCCAAAGAACCUUGUAGUUGAUCUGUUGGAUCUCCUUUUAUGUGGCAGGAGGAAUUGUAGUCUGUUCCACCACAUCCAAAGGAAUGCUCAACAUCUAAACCUGCUAGAGACUGACUCAGUCUUUUGAUUCCUGGACUGGUUACUGGUGAAACAGAACUGGACUUUUACUGCUUGUUAUAGUCAGGAUCUUUAUUAGCAUAUGGACAUUUUUUAAAGAAUUUGAUCGUCAACUUAUUGGAAAUGUGUGUGGUUAAUGUAAAAUUAAACCAGUUAUCUAGUGAUGAAAGCUUAUCCUGUAUAUAUUGUAAAUCAU
Long non-coding RNA from Xiphophorus couchianus (Monterrey platyfish), 516 nucleotides. RefSeq lists it as uncharacterized. The record is from RefSeq and is a predicted model, not a curated record. The transcript has 3 exons. Lineage: Eukaryota; Metazoa; Chordata; Actinopteri; Cyprinodontiformes; Poeciliidae.